RNAcentral lists this ribosomal RNA (331 nucleotides) under uncultured eukaryote. RNAcentral's name for it is "partial 18S ribosomal RNA". It matches the Rfam family "Eukaryotic small subunit ribosomal RNA", at positions 1470 to 1796 of the family's 1831-position model. The record is from RNAcentral.
CCCUUAGAUGUUCUGGGCCGCACGCGCGCUACACUGACGAAGUCAGCGAGCAUGUCCUACGCCGACAGGUGCGGGGAAUCUUGUCAAACUUCGUCGUGAUGGGGAUUGAUUAUUGAAAUUCUUGAUCAUCAACGAGGAAUUCCUAGUAAGCGCAAGUCAGCAGCUUGCGUUGAUUACGUCCCUGCCCUUUGUACACACCGCCCGUCGCUACUACCGAUUGAAUGGUUUAAUGAGAUCUUCGGAUUGGCGCCACUGCGGCUCAGCAAUGGGCUCGGUGGAUGCCGAAAAGUUGAUCAAACUUGAUCAUUUAGAGGAAGUAAAAGUCGUAACA